UACAGAGGUGGCAAGCGUUGUUCGGAAUUACUGGGCGUAAAGGGCGCGUAGGCGGCCUUCUAAGUCGGACGUGAAAGCCCCAGGCUUAACCUGGGAACUGCGUCCGAUACUGGGAGGCUUGGAUUCGGGAGAGGGAUGUGGAAAUCCAGGUGUAGCGGUGAAAUGCGUAGAUAUCUGGAGGAACACCGGUGGCGAAGGCGGCAUCCUGGACCGAGAUCGACGCUGAGGCGCGAAAGCUAGGGGAGCAAACGGG
Molecule: ribosomal RNA, 253 nt
Filed under: uncultured bacterium
Lineage: Bacteria
Description: partial 16S ribosomal RNA
Rfam family: Bacterial small subunit ribosomal RNA
Source: RNAcentral